This is a non-coding RNA of Nothobranchius furzeri (turquoise killifish), 2126 nucleotides long. The record is from RefSeq and is a predicted model, not a curated record. Lineage: Eukaryota; Metazoa; Chordata; Actinopteri; Cyprinodontiformes; Nothobranchiidae.
GCCGAUGCGUUAUGUAUGGAAUUCAAGUGUGUCACAUAAUCAUAAAAAAGUAAAAUAUAAAAUUUAAAAAGAGCUUUAUAUAUUUAUAUUUAAAUAAAAUCUUUCCAACUAUAAUGAAAGUUUCUAAAUAACGUAAAAAUACGAAGGAACAUCUGUUGGUCAGGCUGAAAAGUUUGGUAACCACUGCUCUAAGUGAUAAGUGAAUAUUGUUAUUUAAAUAACUCCUCCCAUGCCUGGGUUUUUGCCUUAGCGACCACCCGAGCAGCAUUCCGCUCGGACUGCCGGUACCCAUCAGCUACCUCUGGAAUCCCACAGGUCAAAAAGACCUUCAGCUUGACAGCAUCCCUAACCGCCGGUGUCCACCAGCGGGUUCGGGGGUUGCCACCACGACAGGCACAGACGAUCCUGCGACCACAGCUCCGGUCAGCCGCCUCAACAAUGGAGGCACGGAACAGGGUCCAUUCAGACUCAAUGUCCCCCGCCUCCCCCGGAACAUUUUGGAAGUUCUGUCGGAGGUGGGAAUUGAAGCUCCUUCUGACAGGAGACUCUGCCAGACGUUCCCAGCAGACCCUCGCGAUACGUUUGGGCUUGCCUGGUCUGACCGGCAUCCUCCCCCACCAUCUGAGCCAACUCACCACCAGGUAGUGGUCAGUUGACAGCUCCGCCCCUCUCUUCACCUGAGUGUCCAAGACAUGCAGCCGCAGGUGGAACAACAACAAAGUUGAUCAUCAAGCUGCGGCCUAAGGUAUCCUGGUGCCAAGAGCACAUAUGGACACCUUUAAGUCUGAACAUGGUGUUCAUUAUGGACAAUCCACAGCCUGGACCUGGUUCUCUCUUUUGGUCUCCCUGUUAUGAACCUUGUAACUUUGCCUCCUGUGUUCUCUGACCAUUCUCCAAUACUCGUGAAGUUACUUUGCCAUGUCCUGUCCCUGUGUGUGAAGCACCAGCUACUAGGUUCAGAGCCCUGGAUGCAGAAACUGUUGCAAUGUUCAUGGACUGUAUGUCUGUAAGGUUAGAGACCUUUAACCCAGAUCCAUCUAACAUUAAUCACUAUUCACAACACUUUGAUUUACUUUUUAAUCAGGUCCUGGAUGUGGUUGCCCCUCUCAAGCUUUGCAAGUCUAGGCCUAGGAGGGAGGCUUGGCUCUCUGAUGUCACACGGGCUUGUAGAUCCUCUGAGAGAAAGUGGAAAAAGGAUGGCCUACAGGUCUUGCGUGAGUUGUUCAGAGCAUCUCUGGUUGCUUAUCAGGAUGCAGUGAGGGUUUCUAGAACUGCAUAUUUUGCAGACAUCAUUGAAACAAACUCUAAGAAUCCCAAGAUUAUCUGCAAAACACUGAACUCUGUUCUGGUGUAUCAGGAGUAGAGCUGAAACAACUAAUCGAUUUAAUCGAUUAUAAUCGAUUAUUAAAAUAGUUAACUUUUUUAGUCAUCGAUUAGUUGUUUAAUAAUCAUAUUUUACCGCAUAAAGUCUAUUUUUACCACAAUCUGACAUCGGUUACAAUCUGUUAAAUUUGCCGCCAGUGUGUGGCAGUAAUGAGCCACUGAUCUACCAGUGGAGCCGUAGAAGAUGAAAUGAGCCAAUGAGUGCCCUCGGUUUUCAUGACGUAUCACGUUACUGACGCUCAUCUUGCUGUGAGAGAUGGCGGAACAAGAAGAAAUACGGAAGAAAAAUAGAAGCGACAAAACUGAAGAGAAACCCCAGACUUCACUCUAGAUGCCUUGAAAAGACGGGUGACCUGCAAAAUAUGCAAAAACCAUCUAGCAUGGCACGGAAGCACGACGUCCCUAAGUGAACAUUUGAGACGAAAACAUGUGGGAGCUGAUGCAGCAGAGGAAGAGCACCGCGGUCAAGUGAGCCGUCAUUUGGAAGAGCCAGCCCGAAAAAAACAAGCAACGAUGGACAACUACAUGGGGAACAAGACACUCACCCCCCAGCAAUUCAUACCACUUACAAACUCUAUUCUAAACAUGCUGGUAAAAGACAUGAGGCCACUACCCAUGGUGGAAGGAGCAGGCUUCCAGCUAAUGCUAAAAAAUUAUUCUGGACUGAUAUUUUGCACUGUUUAGCUCAUUUUAUACUGCUGACUGUUCAUGUGCAAUAAAAUAGAUUGCAGUCAACUGCACAA